AUGAAGUAAAAUAUGCAGCUUCCGCCAGACCGUCUUCUGUAUUCAACGUAUGAAGAAAGUGUAAACUGGCGUCAUGUCAGUUACACUUUUUCCGUAAGUUGAAUAGGGUAGGCGUAGGACGUAGCAUAAGCUUUGUGAACUGCAAGAGUUUUACAAUUUCUGCGUAACUUCAAUACGGAAGGCGGCUAGUGCGGAAGCAAGAUAUUUAACUUCAUAACUUGUUAAAUAUGGAUUUUUUUUUACACAAACACAUCGCUUUGCUUCAGAAGGCCUUUAUUAACCCCCCCGGUUAAUUUUGUUUUGGCUGUACAGCAGCUCUAGAAGAAAAUGGUGUCAUUGUCAAGCUUAAGCAAGUUCAGUGUUGAUUCAUUAUGUUGUAAAAAUCAUUAGUUAUUAAUUUAGUUCAUUUAUCUAUACAACAGCUCUAGAGAAAACAGUGAUGUCAUCGUCCAGCUCAGUUCUGUUCGCAUACAAUGGUGUCAAUGCAGGCAGAUCAAAACAUUGUUGAAUAUCAAGUGUCCCCAACUAAGCAAGCCAGAGGUGACAGCGGCAAGGAACCCAAACUCCAACAGAACAACCUCCUUGACAACCACCAGUCUGGCUUCAAGAGUGGCCACUCAACUGAGACUGCCUUGCUCUCAGUCAUUGAAGCCCUGCGACUGGCACGAGCAACUUCAAAAUCAUCAGUACUCAUCUUGCUGGAUCUGUCUGCUGCUUUUGACACAGUUACCACCAGAUCCUCCUGUCAACACUCAUGUCGAAGGUCAUCUCAGGAACUGCACUCCAGUAGUUCAAGUCUUACCUCUCAGAUGAUCCCACGGUUGCUGGUCGCAUCGCAGCCUGCCUGACAGCCAUUUCUGCCUGGAUGAAGGACCACCACCUUCAACUCAACCUUGCAAAAACGGAACUGCUUGUGGUCGGUGCCAAUCCAACACUUCAUCAUAACCUUUCAAUUCAACUUGGGUCGUCAACCAUUACUGCUUCCAGGACAGCCAGGAACCUUGGAGUGGUGAUGGAUGAUUGUUUAAGCUUCACAGAUCACAUCGCUACAACGGCCCAGUCCUGCAGAUUUGCCUUGUACAACAUUAGGAAGAUUAGAUCCUUCCUAUCGGAGCAUUCCACACAAAUUCUUGUCCAAGACUGGACUAUCCAGACUGGACUAUUGUAAUGCUCUCUUGGCAGGCCUUCCAGCAUGCACUGUCAAGCCUCUACAACUGAUCCAGAAUGCUGCAGCAAGACUGGUCUUUAACGAACUGAAGAGAGCGCAUGUCACACCUCUCUUCAUCAGUUUGCAUUGGCUGCCAAUAGCUUCUUGCAUCCAAUUUAAGGCUCUGAUGAUUGCCUACAGAACAACCACUGGCUCUGCACCACUAUACCUAAACUCACUACUUCAGACUUGUGAACGGCGCCUUGUGGUGCCAUCCCAAAGGGGCACAAAAUCACUCUCACGGACCUUCUCCGGGUCUGUUCCUGGCUGGUGGAAUGACCUACCACGCUCUAUCCGAGCAGCGGAGUCUUUAGCCAUUUUCAAAAAACUGCUAAAGACACUUCUGGGUUAACACUUGACCCAGUAAUAGUAACACUUACUUUUUAUUUUUAUUAUCUUUCUUUUCUUUGAUUUCUACUCUUUUUCCAUCUAUUUGUGUAUUUAAAAAAAAAAAAAAAAAAAAAAUCCUUGCUACGAGCACUUUACUGAUUAAACUGUGACUUGACACAGCACUUACAUACUGUCGUACUCAUGUUGAUUUGAUUGCUUCUACUAUUCUCAUUUGUAAGUCGCUUUGGAGAAAAGCAUCUGCUAAAUGACUAAAUGUAAAUGUAAAUGCAAUGGCUGGACAUCCUGAACAUAUUAUAUGCAAUAACAGACA
This is a long non-coding RNA of Ctenopharyngodon idella (grass carp), 1868 nucleotides long. RefSeq lists it as uncharacterized. NCBI's taxonomy places the organism in Eukaryota, Metazoa, Chordata, Actinopteri, Cypriniformes, Xenocyprididae. The record is from RefSeq and is a predicted model, not a curated record. The transcript has 3 exons.